CUGCAUCUCGCCCGGGUCGGUAACGGCCCCUCUCGCAGUGCGGAUGAGAUGCCGGCCACCUUUCUGUCCCGCCUUGGGCUGAGCUUCUCCGCACCGGCUUCCGUCCCAAGAUGGCCGCACAGGCCCUCCUUCCGGCUACCUCUCCGCGGUCUCUCCUCCGCAGCAGGAGGAACCAGACCCGGGGCCACGGCGCACGGUGCGCACGGGACACAGACUUGGGGAAGCGCAUCUGAUGGCGCGGUGGUUAGAGAGGCGGCAGCAGCCGGACACGGCGGACACAGGACAAGCCUGCGUGUGACGCUGCUAACGGCUCCACGUAGCAGUGACGUGAGCUUUGGAAGUCAGCUUUGAGCAAUCUUUGACAACAAGGAACUCCUAAGAGCAGUGGACAGAGGUGUGAAGAAGUACAGGGAUAAACAACAGUCCAAGCAGCGUCUGCUGAUGGUACACUGAUGGAAACCUUUGGAAGGAAGUGCUGCUCCUGGAUCAGACCAUCUCUGCUCUGUUAGGACCCUCAUGGACCACCAGAUCUAUGGUCUUUCCAAGACCUGCCUUGACGUGAUCCAGUUGGCAUGAUUAAAAGGACACCUGUCUCGCUCACACUGGACCGUGACAGUACUUAGGUGUCAGAGGUGAAGCAAUGAAGGGCUCCUUCUACGCUGUGCUGCUCUGAUGAAUACAAGGAAAUGUCAAAUCACCACCAGGGCUCUGGAAUCCACCGUUCUCCAUUUUCAAAAAGCGACAGAUGUGCAGGAAGGUGUGCCACUAUGUCUGCUGGGAAGAAUAGAAUCUGUGCUGGGUCCUGCUGCUCCAGAGCUGAUGGACUAAGUAACAGAAAAACAACUUAAAUCCCAUGACAUGUUUCCUGCUGCUUGAAGAGAGGGGACCCCUACCUGCUCCCGGCCUCAGUGUCAGUAACAAACGAUCACCAUCUUUUCCUGGGUUUCUAUGUGCAGAAGAUGAUAUCAUCCCAGAGACAAAUGGCUUAGAACAAAGUUCAUAUCAUAAGAAUUGAGACGCUUCUGGGAACAUCCUGGAGGUUCGCAGUCAUUUGCGAUAUUUAGCGGUGAUUGCCAGUUCCAGACUGUUAUGAUGUACUUCAGUUGGAUACAGAUUUUUACGAAGGCUUCACGACUGCACCUUCAUGACUUGGUGUGGCAAAAAUUCUGAUAUCCCCAAUUGUGAAUUUAAAAAAGUCUUGUUGAGAGGGACUGACUAUGGUUUCUGAACACUGUAAGGGUCAUUCUCUGUGACCAGAUAGAUGGUACAGAUGCUCUCCCUUGCAUGGAUACCAGUCUUCCCUGGUGUAGACAGAUCUAGAAAUGGAAACCACUGGGAGGCCACCAACCUCCCCAUGAUUUGCCACAAUAGUGAGCCUGGGA
This is a long non-coding RNA of Nannospalax galili (Upper Galilee mountains blind mole rat), 1382 nucleotides long. RefSeq lists it as uncharacterized. NCBI's taxonomy places the organism in Eukaryota, Metazoa, Chordata, Mammalia, Rodentia, Spalacidae. The transcript is spliced from 7 exons. The record is from RefSeq and is a predicted model, not a curated record.